Molecule: long non-coding RNA, 342 nt
Organism: Cydia splendana
Lineage: Eukaryota; Metazoa; Arthropoda; Insecta; Lepidoptera; Tortricidae
Exons: 2
Source: RefSeq, a predicted model, not a curated record
UAUAUAUACGUCUAGCGUAUGCUUACAUGUGUGCGUGGCUGCGCCCACCACGACACCUAUCCGUCAAUAAACCAGUGCAUAACUAGCUACCGGUUGUUUCACUUGUGCCCAUAACUACGUAUCUAACAUGGGCCGCCUCCAGGCGAUACACGGAGAGUGAUGCGUCCCCGUCCCAAAAUAGAUUUUAAGAAAUAUUACUAAUGUUAAUUUGAAAAUUAGGUUAAAGGAUUAAUAGUUUAAUAGGUGGAGGGAUGAUAUAUAUACGUCUAGCGUAUGCUUACAUGUGUGCGUGGCUGCGCCCACCACGACACCUAUCCGUCAAUAAACCAGUGCAUAACUAGC